This 301-nucleotide ribosomal RNA is filed under the name uncultured bacterium. RNAcentral describes it as "partial 16S ribosomal RNA". It matches the Rfam family "Bacterial small subunit ribosomal RNA", at positions 509 to 807 of the family's 1533-position model. The record is from RNAcentral.
CAGUAGCCGCGGUAAUACGAAGGGGGCUAGCGUUGCUCGGAAUGACUGGGCGUAAAGGGCGCGUAGGCGGCGAUCAAAGUCAGGCGUGAAAUUCCUGGGCUCAACCUGGGGGCUGCGCUUGAUACUUGGUUGCUUGAGUGGGGAAGAGGGUCGUGGAAUUCCCAGUGUAGAGGUGAAAUUCGUAGAUAUUGGGAAGAACACCAGUGGCGAAGGCGGCAACCUGGUCCUUGACUGACGCUGAGGCGCGAAAGCGUGGGGAGCAAACAGGAUUAGAUACCCCCGUAGUCCCUGUCUCUUAUAC